GACGAACGCUGGCGGCGUGCUUAACACAUGCAAGUCGAACGGAAAGGCCCUGCUUUUGUGGGGUGCUCGAGUGGCGAACGGGUGAGUAACACGUGAGUAACCUGCCCUUGACUUUGGGAUAACGUCAGGAAACUGGGGCUAAUACCGGAUAGGAGCUCCUGCUGCAUGGUGGGGGUUGGAAAGUUUCGGCGGUUGGGGAUGGACUCGCGGCCUAGCAGCUUGUUGGUGGGGUAGUAGCUCACCAAGGCUUUGACGGGUAGCCAGCCUGGGAGGGCAACCGGGCUCAUCGGACCUGCGGUACGGCCCUGACUCAUUCGGGUCGUAGCACGCGGAAUUGCUGCGCAUUGGCGGGAUGUCUUAUGCAGGACCGCCGGGUGCCGUAUGCCGGCCUUCGGGUUGUAAACCUCUUUGGCGUGAGUCUACGCGUCGCUAACGGUCUUGAGUAAGCGAGCACCGGCUAGCUUGGU
RNAcentral lists this ribosomal RNA (467 nucleotides) under uncultured bacterium. Its description in RNAcentral is "partial 16S ribosomal RNA". It matches the Rfam family "Bacterial small subunit ribosomal RNA", at positions 28 to 506 of the family's 1533-position model. The record is from RNAcentral.